ACGUCUACAUUAGAUACCCCGGUAGUCCUAGCCGUAAACGAUACUCGCUAGGUGUCGGCCACGGUGCGACCGAUGUCGGUGCCGUAGGGAAGCCGUGAAGCGAGCCACCUGGGAAGUACGGCCGCAAGGCUGAAACUUAAAGGAAUUGGCGGGGGAGCGCAACAACGGGUGGAGCUUGCGGUUUAAUUGGAUUCAACGCCGGAAAUCUUACCGGGACCGACAGCAACAUGAAGGCCAAGCUGAAGACUUUGCCGGAUUAGCUG
Molecule: ribosomal RNA, 263 nt
Filed under: uncultured archaeon
Lineage: Archaea
Description: partial 16S ribosomal RNA
Rfam family: Archaeal small subunit ribosomal RNA
Source: RNAcentral